UGACCUCAAAUCGGGUGAGACUACCCGCUGAACUUAAGCAUACAA
Molecule: ribosomal RNA, 45 nt
Filed under: Russula atrorubens
Lineage: Eukaryota; Fungi; Basidiomycota; Agaricomycetes; Russulales; Russulaceae
Description: partial 28S ribosomal RNA
Source: RNAcentral